Molecule: ribosomal RNA, 517 nt
Filed under: uncultured delta proteobacterium
Lineage: Bacteria; Deltaproteobacteria
Description: bacterial SSU rRNA
Rfam family: Bacterial small subunit ribosomal RNA
Source: RNAcentral
AGUGCGGUCGCAAGAUGAGAACUCAUACGAAUUGACGGGGGCCCGGACAAGCGGCGGAGUAUGUGUUCUAGUUGGACGCAAGGUGCAGAACUUUACGUGGUCUCGACAUCACGAGAAUGUGUUGGAAACAAGAGAGUGCCUGUUGGAGGAAUUUGGUGACUUUUUUUGCAUGGCGGUCGUCACUUCGUGUCGUGAGAUGUUGGGUUAAGUCCCGCGACGAGGGCAACCCUUGUCCUUAGUUGCCAUCAUUAAGCUGGACAUUCUAAAGAGACUGCCGGUGUCAAACCGGAAGAAGGUGGGGAAGACGUCAAGUCCUCAUGGCCUUUAUGAUCAGGGCUACACACGUAUUACAAUGGCCGGUACAAAGGGCAGCCACAGGGCAACCUGGAGCGAAUCCCGUCAACCCGGUCUCAGUCCGGAUUGGAGUCUGCAACUCGACUCCAUGAAGUUGGAAUCGUAGUAAUAGUGGAUCAUCAUGCCACGGUGAAAACGUUCCCGGCCAUUGCACACGCCUCCC